Molecule: long non-coding RNA, 1388 nt
Filed under: Homo sapiens (human)
Lineage: Eukaryota; Metazoa; Chordata; Mammalia; Primates; Hominidae
Description: non-protein coding lnc-HIST1H2AI-3:8
Source: RNAcentral
UUUUGCUACCCCUGAAGCUUACUGUUAGUGGUCGAGUUUUUCUGGAAGUGGGCUUCCGCGAUCGCGGGGACCAACGCCCUGAGCUCUUGUGCCCAAAGGGGAUCGCCAGGUUUUUUGAUGCGGAUCGAAAGGGACUGGCCCCGGAGCCUACAACCUGACGCAGGUGGGACUUGGGGAAAUGUCGAGAAACCUAGGUCUGGGACUUGAGUUGGCUUCCAGGGCACACAUUCUUGUUCAGAAGAAACACAUUGCAAAAAUCGGGAGGUGACGGGCAGAUGAAGUGUCGGCGCUUCGCCUCGGGACUCCAGUGCAACCUAUGGGGCUUUUGGAAAUGAGGAAGUCGAUGACUCUGCAGGGACUCCUCUGACCCAGGAGCAGAUGGCGCUCGUCUGGGCACUCCCCAGGAGAAAAGGUGCAUCGGGAAGCAGCCUGGCUUGUGGAUGACCUGCUUUGCUCAGAAAGGGAGAUCAGGAGACCAGGUGAUGCUGUAGCAAAUGUCAGAGUCGAGUCGUGGACAAGGUGGAGGAGAGAGAAUUCCUUGGCAGUAGCAUUAUGAACAAAUGCAGGGCUGAGAAACAGCAUGGUGGCCUUGACUAAGUUUAUGGCGACAGCAGGUAUAAGGAAACAGCUGAAUUUAUGUCACUUGCCCAAUGUCACACAACUAGCAAGACUGACUCCUUGAAGCUCAUCACAUGUAAGAACUGCUUUAGAGCAGUGGUCUUCAAACUUUGAAAGCAUAUCCUGUUGAAAAAUUAUGUAUCCACUUCUACAUUUUGCGAUGCCUCUUCAUGGGUGGUGGAUGAAGAAACUGAACAGGGCCAUGAUCCUUAUCUGUAAUUUCCCGGCUACCACACUGCUUUGGUGGUCUUCCCUCGUCUCUUCCUGGGUAGAAACAACUACCUGGAGAUCCCAAUGUUCUUGUCAGUGCACUUUUCAUGGACUGCAGUGGUAAGACGAUGUGUUGGAUGCCCAAACACAAACCAAGUGAGCCCUCUACCUUCGCAAUUCCCGGUGCUGUGGAGCUGUCAGAGUUUUAACAUCUCAACCAAGCCACAUGGAUACUAUUUCCUCAGAAAAGACAAAAUUGAUCCAAGCAGAAGAGUGAACUCACCGAAGAGGACUCUCUACCCAUAACUGGGGAUGCCUCAGCCACUCACACUUACUCCAAGAUUAGUGUCACUGAUUAUGGAAAGAAUUGACUUCUUCCCCUGGUCUUGCUCAUUUUUCUAGAGCCCAGGACAAUAAAUGUGUUUUACGGCAGAGAAAAGUGAAGACGGGUGGAAUUGUGUGUGUUGAGAGAGAAGCAGAUAGGCAAUCUUACGCUUUGGCUCCUAGAUUAUGCAGGUGCCUCUUUUCUAUCAUCUCCAUAAAUCCUACCCUUACUGCGC